CUCACAAUGCUGCAUUCCAUGUCCUGCAGUUCAUGGAGUUCCUUUCCCCAUUACUUUCCCUCUCAAUCCAAGCCUGUCCCUCUUUUGGGCUCCCAAAUGCUCAAGAAGUGUGCAACUGUCAUCCAAAUGUGUCCUCUCUUGCCUGAUAUAGUAUCCUAUGCAGUGCUUCUCCAACAAAGCUAUAAGCUCUUUAGGGAAAACAAGCAUGUCUUCAUUUCCCAUAGCAGGGCUGUAGAUAGACACUCAACACAUACUCGGUGAUGGAUCGAUUCAGGUCCAAGUCCAGCACCGUUUAUUUACUUAGCAUCUAUAGCACCAGGCGUCAGACUGCGGAUACAGAGAUGAAAGACAUUCCCUCUAUGCUCUUUCCACCUUGGCCUCGAGUGUUGCUCUGUUCUUUCAGCUGUGCUCAACAGCUAGGAAGAGUCCAGGCUGGGCGUGGUAUUGUAAUGAAAUAAAACUUACAACAAAUCCGAUGUGACACAUACUGUCAUACCUAAUAGCUCAGCACAGCCCUGAGUUCACUCUCCAAGGCUGCAUCCAUUCUCUCCAAGCAAAGUUCUCAGUCGCAACGGAAAACAACUUGGGCUAAUUUUAGAAAAGGAAUGUAUUAACAAAUAAAAGCUAGCUCACAGACUCUCUGGGAGGGCUGGAGCAUUAGCCUUAGAGACUGCAGGGCUGGGAACAGUUUCCAAAAUGACAUCACAGGGGGAAACACAUGUUUGUGACUGUUAUAUAGUCUUAAUCUUGCUUAAUGUUUUAAAAAGCCCUUUAAAUACCUUUAAACUACUUCUUUCUUGAAAUUAAUGUUGUGAUUCCUGCUUUCAUCUUGUUGCCUUUGUCUGAAAUCUCUGCCCGCCCCCUGCUACCUCUCUGCUCAUGUGUUCUGUCCAUGUUUAAAGGCUAGCCUUGUGCAUCAACAUUAUAACAAGGUAACAUACAGAUAUGCAUCAUAAAUUCUUCCCAGAACAAGGAGGAGAGUGAAUGUGAAAGGAAGAAAGAGAGGAAGAAUGAACAAACCAAUCAGCCAAUAAUGGAGGGAAAGGUAGAGAUUUAAGCAUGAGGCCAGGCAAAGCAUAUAAUAGGCAAGAUAACUGAAUAUGCUCUGAAGUAAGCAUCUUUUAUUUAUUUGUCCUGGUUCUCACUUCAAACCAGGCCUUUGUUCUUCUAUAAAAUAGUUAUUAAUUUCCAAUAUAUGUUCAUACACACAUAUACACAAUACAUCUGUCAUCCGUAUGUAUUGUAUAUAAUUUAUACAUAUUUUGAGAGAGGUAGAAUAAGUGCUAUCUCAAUUUAGCAGUCAGUCCCUAUAAAGGAUCUCAUGAAGAGGAAGACCAAUUCAAGAUGGGUUCCAGUUUGUGGUUUGAACUUGUACAGUUCAGUUGGACCAAACUGAACAUCCAAUAAGGUGUGCUGGGAAAUGUUUAACAACCAGCUCUGGGGCAUGGGUGGAGGUGAAACACCCUGAGUUGUGGUGUUCGUGGAUUUCUAUGGUGUAAAUGCUGGUCAACUUCAAGCUAUCUAUGUGAUGUCACUGGACAUGGAGUUGGGGACACAGCAUUAAAUCCAGUGGAAAUUUAGAUGUUUUAUUCCCCAGGAUAAGUUUCAGGGGGAGUCCCUGACUCCUGUUUCCACCAGCAGCCAGACCUUACUAGACUAGUGGGCAUUACUAGAUGUGGGCAUGAAAAUAACAUGAACUACCUGAUGGACAAGCUUCCCAGACACAUUCCUGUGGUUCUCCAGUUGUUUUGAGCAAUUUAGUCACCACUUUAAGUUUCUAAUUACAGAGUUUUGUUUUUAUUUUUAAAAACAAUGUGGUCUCGAUGGAGGUAAUCUCUUUAGUGUACAUUCUCUGCAUUACUCACAAUCUUUUCUUAACAAAUACGGAGUAGUUAUAGUCUGCCUAUCCUGACACUUCAGAGAAUUUAAUUUUAAUGCUGGAAAGAGUUGCAAAGGUGAUUUCUUAUUGCAUAUACUUAAGGAGAGUGCUAAGGAAACGAAGUAGGUUGCGUGAGGACCCAAGGCUGGUUAUUAUCAGAGUUGAGACCUAGAACAUAUGUAUUUGAAUCUCAGUUUGUUCUCUUUCAUUCUAUUCACCCAAUUUUAAUAUGAUUUAAUUUAUAUGGCUGUAGGGGCAAUUAGGCUACUAAUUUAUGCUAGGAAAAACACCUAUCACCUCAAUAGGAAAAUAUCGGCCUAGAAAAAUUAACUUUAAAUGUCUUUUCAUAAAGUUUGAGUUACAUAAUGAAGAAAGCAGGAUUGGAUUGAGAUUAUUCUGAUAAAAAAAAAAAAGAUGGACAUUCAUUAAACAUCUCAUCUGCCAGGCAUCACUCCAAGUGUUCUGUGUAUCUUCUUUCUUUGAAUCCUCACUUCUGUCUUAAUGGCCUUAUUUCAUCCAAUGAGGGGACCAGGCACAAUUACAUAAUUUGC
Molecule: long non-coding RNA, 2430 nt
Filed under: Homo sapiens (human)
Lineage: Eukaryota; Metazoa; Chordata; Mammalia; Primates; Hominidae
Description: non-protein coding LINC01394:39
Source: RNAcentral